UACGGGGGGGGCAAGCGUUGUUCGGAAUUACUGGGCGUAAAGGGCGCGUAGGCGGGUGGACAAGUCUCUCGUGAAAGCCCACGGCUCAACCGUGGAAUUGCGGGAGAUACUGUCUGUCUUGAGUCCGGGAGAGGAGGGUGGAAUUCCCAGUGGAGCGGUGAAAUGCGUAGAUAUUGGGAGGAACACCGGUGGCGAAGGCGGCUCUCUGGACCGGUACUGGCGCUGAGGCGCGAAAGCUACGGGAGCAAACGGG
Molecule: ribosomal RNA, 253 nt
Filed under: uncultured bacterium
Lineage: Bacteria
Description: partial 16S ribosomal RNA
Rfam family: Bacterial small subunit ribosomal RNA
Source: RNAcentral